GCACACGCGUGUGCUGUACCGUGGGGCACGUGUGUUGCACGGCUCCGGCACACGCGUGUGGUGCCGUGUCGCAUGGCUGCAGCACAUGCGUGUGCUAUGGGGCAGGACACGCGUGUCCCGCAGCUCCAGCGCAUGCAUGUGAUGCCGCGUGACGUGGUUGCAGCACAUACGUGUGCUGUGGUGCAGGACACGCGUGUCACACAGCUCUGGCACACGCGUGUGAUGCUGUGUCAUGCGGUUGCAGCACACGCGUGUGCUGGUGCCAUGUUGUGUGACUGCGGCACACGCGUGUGAUGCUGUGUCAUGUGCCUGCAGCACACGUGUGUUACAGUGCAGGGCACGUGUGUUGCACGGCUUUGGCACAUGCGUGUGAUGCUAUUUUACAUGGUUGCAGCACACGCGUGUGCCGCAGCACAGCGCACACGUGUCGCACGGCUCCAGCACACACGUGAUGCCCGUUUCAGCACACGCAUGUGCUACAGCGCAACACACGUGUCGCACAGCCCUGGCACACGCCUGCAAUGCCGCGUCACGCUUGCAGCACACGCGUGUGCCACGGUGCCACACAGAUGUCCCGUGUCGCGCGGCUGCAGCACACGCGUGUGGCGACGCUCCCUGGUCGCUGCGGGUGUGAGGGCGCCGGCUGUGCCGCUCCCCGCGGGUGUUGCGUUGUUGGGUGUCCUGGCACGGUGUUGUGUGCGUCCCCAUGGGUGUUGCGUUGUUGGGUGUCCUGGCACGGUGUUGCGUGCAUCCCUAUGGGUGUUGCGUUGUUGCACCGCUCCCCACGGGUGUCUCAGCACGGUGUUGCGUGCAUCCCUGUGGGUGUUGUUGCACCCAUCCCCGUGGGUGUCAUGUUACCGAGUGUCCCGGCACGGUGUUGUGUCCAUCCCCAUGGGUGUCGCAUUGUUACAGCCAUCCCCGCGGGUGUUGCGUUGCUGAGUGUCCCAGCACGGUGUUGCACCGCUCCCUGGGGCUGUUGCGUUGUUGUGCCUGUGCCUGUGGGUGUCCCAGCACGGUGUUGCCUGCAUCCCCACAGGUGUUGCGUUGUUGCAGUGCUCCCCGCGGCUGUCGUGUUAUCAAGUGUCCCGGCACGGUGUUGCAUGCAUCCCCGCGGCUGUUGCAUUGUUGCACCCAUCCCCACAGGUGUUGCGUUGUUGAGUGUCGUGGCACGGUGUUGUGUGCAUCCCCGGGGCCGUUGCAUUGUUGCACCACUCCCUAUGGGUGUCCCGACACGGUGUUGUGCGCAUCCCUGUGACUGUCGCGUUGUUGCACCCGUCCCCACGGGUAUCGUGCUGUCAAGAGUCCCGGCACGGUGUUGCACAGCUCCGCGGGGCCGUCGUGUUGUUGCACCCAUCCCCACAGGUGUCACGUUACCGAGUGUCCCGGCACGGUGUUGCCCGCAUCCCCAGGGCCGUCGUGUUGUUGCACCGCUCCCUAUGGGUGUCCCAGCAGGGUGUUGCCUGCAUCCCCACGGGUGUCAUAUUACCGACUGUCCUGGCCCGGUGUUGCCUGCAUCCCUGGGGCUGUCGCGUUGUUGCACCCAUCCGCACGUGUGUCACUUUAUCGGCUGUCGUGGCACGGUGUUGC
Molecule: long non-coding RNA, 1587 nt
Organism: Dromaius novaehollandiae (emu)
Lineage: Eukaryota; Metazoa; Chordata; Aves; Casuariiformes; Dromaiidae
Source: Ensembl